RNAcentral lists this ribosomal RNA (465 nucleotides) under uncultured Klebsiella sp. RNAcentral describes it as "bacterial SSU rRNA". It matches the Rfam family "Bacterial small subunit ribosomal RNA", at positions 338 to 795 of the family's 1533-position model. Lineage: Bacteria; Pseudomonadati; Pseudomonadota; Gammaproteobacteria; Enterobacterales; Enterobacteriaceae. The record is from RNAcentral.
CCUACGGGUGGCUGCAGUGGGGAAUAUUGCACAAUGGGCGCAAGCCUGAUGCAGCCAUGCCGCGUGUGUGAAGAAGGCCUUCGGGUUGUAAAGCACUUUCAGCGGGGAGGAAGGCGGUGAGGUUAAUAACCUCAUCGAUUGACGUUACCCGCAGAAGAAGCACCGGCUAACUCCGUGCCAGCAGCCGCGGUAAUACGGAGGGUGCAAGCGUUAAUCGGAAUUACUGGGCGUAAAGCGCACGCAGGCGGUCUGUCAAGUCGGAUGUGAAAUCCCCGGGCUCAACCUGGGAACUGCGUUCGAAACUGGCAGGCUAGAGUCUUGUAGAGGGGGGUAGAAUUCCAGGUGUAGCGGUGAAAUGCGUAGAGAUCUGGAGGAAUACCGGUGGCGAAGGCGGCCCCCUGGACAAAGACUGACGCUCAGGUGCGAAAGCGUGGGGAGCAAACAGGAUUAGAUACCCGGGUAGUC